UAUUAACUCUGGCGGCGUGCCUAAUACAUGCAAGUCGAGCGAACAGAUGAGGAGCUUGCUCCUCUGACGUUAGCGGCGGACGGGUGAGUAACACGUGGAUAACCUACCUAUAAGACUGGGAUAACUUCGGGAAACCGGAGCUAAUACCGGAUAAUAUAUUGAACCGCAUGGUUCAAUAGUGAAAGACGGUUUUGCUGUCACUUAUAGAUGGAUCCGCGCCGCAUUAGCUAGUUGGUAAGGUAACGGCUUACCAAGGCAACGAUGCGUAGCCGACCUGAGAGGGUGAUCGGCCACACUGGAACUGAGACACGGUCCAGACUCCUACGGGAGGCAGCAGUAGGGAAUCUUCCGCAAUGGGCGAAAGCCUGACGGAGCAACGCCGCGUGAGUGAUGAAGGUCUUCGGAUCGUAAAACUCUGUUAUUAGGGAAGAACAAAUGUGUAAGUAACUAUGCACGUCUUGACGGUACCUAAUCAGAAAGCCACGGCUAACUACGUG
This 497-nucleotide ribosomal RNA is filed under the name uncultured bacterium. RNAcentral describes it as "partial 16S ribosomal RNA". It matches the Rfam family "Bacterial small subunit ribosomal RNA", at positions 29 to 507 of the family's 1533-position model. The record is from RNAcentral.